AUUAAAAUAGCUCAAGGAGAGUAUUGCAUUGAAGCUGCAAAGGUGACUGAAUUGUCUUUUAAUA
Molecule: transfer RNA, 64 nt
Filed under: Tetraclita serrata
Lineage: Eukaryota; Metazoa; Arthropoda; Thecostraca; Balanomorpha; Tetraclitidae
Description: tRNA-Phe
Rfam family: tRNA
About the family: Transfer RNA (tRNA) molecules are approximately 80 nucleotides in length. Their secondary structure includes four short double-helical elements and three loops (D, anti-codon, and T loops). Further hydrogen bonds mediate the characteristic L-shaped molecular structure. tRNAs have two regions of fundamental functional importance: the anti-codon, which is responsible for specific mRNA codon recognition, and the 3' end, to which the tRNAs corresponding amino acid is attached (by aminoacyl-tRNA synthetases). tRNAs cope with the degeneracy of the genetic code in two manners: having more than one tRNA (with a specific anti-codon) for a particular amino acid; and 'wobble' base-pairing, i.e. permitting non-standard base-pairing at the 3rd anti-codon position.
Source: RNAcentral